Molecule: long non-coding RNA, 1094 nt
Organism: Oncorhynchus keta (chum salmon)
Lineage: Eukaryota; Metazoa; Chordata; Actinopteri; Salmoniformes; Salmonidae
Exons: 5
Source: RefSeq, a predicted model, not a curated record
UAAAGUGGUUACAGCCUUAGUGUUCACAGUAAAACUGUAACUUAAAGCAGGUACAGCCUCAGUGUUCACAGUAAAACUGUAACUUAAAGUGGUUACAGCCUUAGUGUUCACAGUAAAACUGUAACUUAAAGCAGGUACAGCCUCAGUGUUCACAGUAAAACUGUAACUUAAAGCGGAUACAGCCUCAGUGUUCACAGUAAAACUGUAACUUAAAGCGGGUACAGCCUCAGUGUUCACAGUAAAACUGUAACUUAAAGCAGGUACAGCCUCAGUGUUCACAGUAAAACUGUAACUUAAAGCAGGUACAGCCUCAGUGUUCACAGUAAAACUGUAACUUAAAGCAGGUACAGCCUCAGUGUUCACAGUAAAACUGUAACUUAAAGCAGGUACAGCCUCAGUGUUCACAGUAAAACUGUAACUUAAAGCAGGUACAGCCUCAGUGUUCACAGUAAAACUGUAACUUAAAGUGGGUACAGCCUCAGUGUUCACAGUAAAACUGUAACUUAAAGCAGGUACAGCCUCAGUGUUCACAGUAAAACUGUAACUUAAAGCAGGUACAGCCUCAGUGUUCACAGUAAAACUGUAACUUAAAGCAGGUACAGCCUCAGUGUUCACAGUAAAACUGUAACUUAAAGCAGGUACAGCCUCAGUGUUCACAGUAAAACUGUAACUUAAAGCAGGUACAGCCUCAGUGUUCACAGUAAAACUGUAACUUAAAGCAGGUAGAGCCUCAGUGUUCACAGUAAAACUGUAACUUAAAGCAGGUACAGCCUCAGUGUUCACAGUAAAACUGUAACUUAAAGCAGGUACAGCCUCAGUGUUCACAGUAAAACUGUAACUUAAAGCAGGUACAGCCUCAGUGUUCACAGUAAAACUGUAACUUAAAGCGGGUACAGCCUCAGUGUUCACAGUAAAACUGUAACUUAAAGUGGGUACAGCCUCAGUGUUCACAGUAAAACUGUAUCUUAAAGCAGGUAGAGCCUCAGUGUUCACAGUAAAACUGUAUCUUAAAGCAGGUAGAGCCUCAGUGUUCACAGUAAAACUGUAACUUAAAGCAGGUAGAGCCUCAGUGUUCACAGUAAAACUGUAACUUA